UACGUAGGGUGCGAGCGUUAAUCGGAAUUACUGGGCGUAAAGCGUGCGCAGGCGGUUUUGUAAGCCAGAUGUGAAAUCCCCGGGCUUAACCUGGGAAUGGCAUUUGGGACUGCAAGGCUGGAGUUUGGCAGAGGAGACUGGAAUUCCUGGUGUAGCAGUGAAAUGCGUAGAUAUCUGGAGGAACACCGGUGGCGAAGGCGGCAUCCUGGACCGACAUUGACGCCUGAGGCGCGAAAGCCAGGGGAGGCAAACGGG
RNAcentral lists this ribosomal RNA (255 nucleotides) under uncultured bacterium. RNAcentral's name for it is "partial 16S ribosomal RNA". It matches the Rfam family "Bacterial small subunit ribosomal RNA", at positions 524 to 776 of the family's 1533-position model. The record is from RNAcentral.